UACGGGGGGAGCAAGCGUUGUUCGGAUUUACUGGGCGUAAAGGGCGCGUAGGCGGUCAGCACAAGUCAGUUGUGAAAUCUCCGGGCUUAACCCGGAAAGGUCAACUGAUACUGUGCGACUAGAGUGCGGAAGGGGCAACUGGAAUUCUCGGUGUAGCGGUGAAAUGCGUAGAUAUCGAGAGGAACACCUGCGGCGAAGGCGGGUUGCUGGGCCGACACUGACGCUGAUGCGCGAAAGCCGGGGGAGCGAACGGG
RNAcentral lists this ribosomal RNA (254 nucleotides) under uncultured bacterium. Its description in RNAcentral is "partial 16S ribosomal RNA". It matches the Rfam family "Bacterial small subunit ribosomal RNA", at positions 524 to 776 of the family's 1533-position model. The record is from RNAcentral.